UACGUAGGAUGCAAGCGUUGUCCGGAAUUACUGGGCGUAAAGGGCGAGUAGGCGGCCUGUCAAGUCCGAUGUGAAAGCUCCCGGCUUAACUGGGAGAGGCCAUUGGAAACUGGCAAGCUGGAGUGCAGGAGAGGCUAACGGAAUUCCCGGUGUAGUGGUGAAAUGCGUAGAUAUCGGGAGGAACACCAGUGGCGAAGGCGGUUAGCUGGCCUGUAACUGACGCUGAGGCGCGAAGGCUAGGGGAG
This 245-nucleotide ribosomal RNA is filed under the name uncultured bacterium. RNAcentral describes it as "partial 16S ribosomal RNA". It matches the Rfam family "Bacterial small subunit ribosomal RNA", at positions 524 to 768 of the family's 1533-position model. The record is from RNAcentral.